This 465-nucleotide ribosomal RNA is filed under the name uncultured bacterium. Its description in RNAcentral is "bacterial SSU rRNA". It matches the Rfam family "Bacterial small subunit ribosomal RNA", at positions 339 to 795 of the family's 1533-position model. The record is from RNAcentral.
CUACGGGGGGCUGCAGUGGGGAAUAUUGCGCAAUGGGGGAAACCCUGACGCAGCGACGCCGCGUGAGCGAAGAAGGCCUUAGGGUCGUAAAGCUCUGUUUUAAGGGACGAAUGUCGCGGGUAAUAAUACGAUCUGCGAAUGACGGUACCUUAAGAGGAAGCCCCGGCUAACUACGUGCCAGCAGCCGCGGUAAGACGUAGGGGGCGAGCGUUGUCCGGAAUUACUGGGCGUAAAGAGCACGUAGGCGGGAUUUUAAGUCAGGUGUGAAAGACCGUGGCUCAACCACGGGGUUGCACUUGAAACUGGGAUUCUUGAGGGCAGGAGAGGAAAGUGGAAUUCCUGGUGUAGCGGUGAAAUGCGUAGAAAUCAGGAGGAACACCGGUGGCGAAGGCGACUUUCUGGACUGACCCUGACGCUGAGGUGCGAAAGCGUGGGUAGCAAACAGGAUUAGAUACCCGUGUAGUC